GGCUCAGGAUGAACGCUGGCGGCGUGCUUAACACAUGCAAGUCGAACGAAGCACUUUAAUUGAUUUCUUCGGAAUGAAGUUUUUGUGACUGAGUGGCGGACGGGUGAGUAACGCGUGGGUAACCUGCCUCAUACAGGGGGAUAACAGUUGGAAACGACUGCUAAUACCGCAUAAGCGCACAGGAUUGCAUGAUCCAGUGUGAAAAACUCCGGUGGUAUGAGAUGGACCCGCGUCUGAUUAGCCAGUUGGCGGGGUAACGGCCCACCAAAGCGACGAUCAGUAGCCGACCUGAGAGGGUGACCGGCCACAUUGGGACUGAGACACGGCCCAAACUCCUACGGGAGGCAGCAGUGGGGAAUAUUGCACAAUGGGGGAAACCCUGAUGCAGCGACGCCGCGUGAGCGAAGAAGUAUUUCGGUAUGUAAAGCUCUAUCAGCAGGGAAGAAGAAUGACGGUACCUGACUAAGAAGCACCGGCUAAAUACGUG
This 487-nucleotide ribosomal RNA is filed under the name uncultured bacterium. RNAcentral describes it as "bacterial SSU rRNA". It matches the Rfam family "Bacterial small subunit ribosomal RNA", at positions 21 to 507 of the family's 1533-position model. The record is from RNAcentral.